UAAUUGAAGAGUUUGAUCAUGGCUCAGAUUGAACGCUGGCGGCAGGCUUAACACAUGCAAGUCGAGCGGUAGCACAAGAGAGCUUGCUCUCUGGGUGACGAGCGGCGGACGGGUGAGUAAUGUCUGGGAAACUGCCUGAUGGAGGGGGAUAACUACUGGAAACGGUAGCUAAUACCGCAUAACGUCGCAAGACCAAAGAGGGGGACCUUCGGGCCUCUU
RNAcentral lists this ribosomal RNA (219 nucleotides) under Serratia marcescens. RNAcentral's name for it is "partial 16S ribosomal RNA". It matches the Rfam family "Bacterial small subunit ribosomal RNA", at positions 1 to 218 of the family's 1533-position model. The record is from RNAcentral. Lineage: Bacteria; Pseudomonadati; Pseudomonadota; Gammaproteobacteria; Enterobacterales; Yersiniaceae.